GAUGAACGCUGGCGGCGUGCCUAAUACAUGCAAGUCGAACGAAACUUCUUUAUCACCGAGUGCUUGCACUCACCGAUAAAGAGUUGAGUGGCGAACGGGUGCUUACCACGUGGUCAACCUGCCCAAAAGAGGGGGAUAACACUUGGAAACAGGUGCUAAUACCGCAUAACCAUAGUUACCGCAUGGUAACUAUGUAAAAGGUGGCUAUACUACCGCUUUUGGAUGGGCCCGCGGCGCAUUAGCUAGUUGGUAGGGUAAAGGCUUACCAAGGCAAUGAUGCGUAGACGAAUUGAGAGGCUGAUAGGCGACCUUGGGACUGAGACACGGCCCAAACUACUACGGGAGGCAGCAGUAGGGAAUCGUCCACAAUGGGCGAAAGUCUGAUGGAGCAACGCCGCGUGGGUGGAGAAGGUCUUCGGAUCGUAAAACCCGGUUGUGAGAGAAGAAAGUGCGUGAGAGUAACUGUUCACGUUUCGACGGUAUCUAACCAGAAAGCAACGGCUAACUACGUG
This 512-nucleotide ribosomal RNA is filed under the name uncultured bacterium. RNAcentral describes it as "partial 16S ribosomal RNA". It matches the Rfam family "Bacterial small subunit ribosomal RNA", at positions 28 to 507 of the family's 1533-position model. The record is from RNAcentral.